RNAcentral lists this ribosomal RNA (297 nucleotides) under uncultured bacterium. RNAcentral describes it as "partial 16S ribosomal RNA". It matches the Rfam family "Bacterial small subunit ribosomal RNA", at positions 337 to 651 of the family's 1533-position model. The record is from RNAcentral.
UCCUACGGGAGGCAGCAGUGGGGAAUAUUGCCCAAUGGGGGAAACCCUGAUGCAGCGACGCCGCGUGAGUGAAGAAGUAAUUCGUUAUGUAAAGCUCUAUCAGCAGGGAAGAAAAUGACGGUACCUGAGUAAGAAGCCCAGGCUAACUACGUGCCAGCAGCCGCGGGAAUACGUAGGGGGCAAGCGUUAUACGGAUUUACUGGGUGUAAAGGGAGCGUAGACGGCAGUGCAAGUCUGGAGUGACAGGCGGGGGCUCAACCCCCGGACUGCUCUGGAACAUGUACGGCUGGAGUGCAG